Molecule: long non-coding RNA, 1240 nt
Organism: Coregonus clupeaformis (lake whitefish)
Lineage: Eukaryota; Metazoa; Chordata; Actinopteri; Salmoniformes; Salmonidae
Exons: 3
Source: RefSeq, a predicted model, not a curated record
AAUUUUUUGUUUUCUCUCAGCAUUAACUUCUGUUCUAUUAUAAUGUAGACGUGAUGAUUUCCUAUUACCGCCCCAGUCUGAUGUUAAGCUGACUGAUUGGUUUCCGAACUGAUCUAUACGCCAGAGCAGUGUUUCACAAUCCUGGUUCUGGGGACCUAUAUGUAAAGCUUUGUUUAGACGACAGCUCAAUUCUGAUCUUUCACUAAUUAGUGUUGCGUAUUCAGAUCAGGAAGGUCUGAAAAGAUUUGUGAUUGGUCCUACGACCAGUGGCCGUGCCAUCCCGGGAUAUACGGUAUUACCGGAAGUUCACACAAGGCUCUAUUUAUGAAAUGGGAAAAAUAAUGCUCAAGCAUCACUAACGUGAACGUCUGCUGCAUGGCCAAAACAAAUAUUAGCAACCAAUGCUUGUUCCAGGAGGGAAUUUCUCUGCUGUUACCAAGGGACGCUUGAUUUUGGAAGAAGCUAACCACUUAGCUAGAUGGUUAACUAACUACUAAGUUAGCAAACCAAAUGUACAACUGCUGAACCUUUAUCAUUUACAUAAGUUAUAAGCCAUCUAGCUGGCAAACAUUUAGUUGUGAAUUCCAUACUGUAGUUAGUUCACCUGGCACAACAGUAAGUGACUCACAAUGCUCUGGUCUCAUUGUUGUACUUGUAAACAAACACCGUGGCCUACUACUAUGUAAAUGACAUGUGACAGGUGAAAUUAGGUUUUAUUUAUCCUAAUGUAUUGCUGAAGUUGACUGCAGGUAUUUACUUAAGUAGCUACACAUAUUAAAAUGAGUAACUUCAAAUAAUUAAUUAGAACAGUAUUUGAAAAACCCUCCUGUCGUUUUCAACUCCCCCAGUAUACGGUAUACCCACCCAAGACCAGUUCUAGGGCAAAAACAAAUGUUCACCGCUUUGGGUCCCCAGGGUUAGAAUUCCACUGCUGUAGACUGAUCCCAUGUCUGGCUACUAGUUCGUUAAAUGUCACUUCAUGCUCUCCUACUUUGUCCCUCUAGUGUUCUGCCCCCCCCACCUGGUUGAGGUCCUAGUGUCUGCAGUCUAUGGAAAGCUCGUUGGCUGUUGAAGUGUUGCUGUCCUGGUGGAGUGGGAAGUGCUCGUGUGGAACACCGGCUCGCACUCCUGUUUGGGCAGCAAGGAAGUGGGACAGUCUCGUUGGAACUGGGAAAACCAAGCCAAGUCAAUUCAACCCCUGACUGUGUGUUUUGCUGAAUAAAUAAAUCUACAAAUGUGA